CUUUUUAUGAGGAUGCCUGCUAAAAUAAGCAAAACCCAUCCAUUCUAUGCAUGUAAUUACAUAAUAAUAUCACAUAAUAUUAUUAUGCAACCUAAGAAUUUAAAACUAAUUUCUCUAUAAAAUUUUCAUAGAGACUCUCGUGUAAAAUCUUAGAGUGCACCCAAUGCAUUGAAUCUUUAAUAGGAGGAGAUCACUUAUUGGGUGUCUCCCUUUUAGUGGUCGUGCUGU
This 228-nucleotide long non-coding RNA is filed under the name Elaeis guineensis (African oil palm). RNAcentral's name for it is "long non-coding RNA (EGUI_LNC008170)". The record is from RNAcentral. Lineage: Eukaryota; Viridiplantae; Streptophyta; Magnoliopsida; Arecales; Arecaceae.